Molecule: ribosomal RNA, 468 nt
Filed under: uncultured bacterium
Lineage: Bacteria
Description: partial 16S ribosomal RNA
Rfam family: Bacterial small subunit ribosomal RNA
Source: RNAcentral
GACGAACGCUGGCGGCGGGCUUAACACAUGCAAGUCGAACGGAAAGGCCCUGCUUUUGUGGGGUGCUCGAGUGGCGAACGGGUGAGUAACACGGGAGUAACCUGCCCUUGACGUUGGGAUAACUGCAGGAAACUGGUGCUAAUACCGGAUAGGAGCUCCUGCUGCAUGGGGGGGGUUGGAAAGUUUCGGCGGUUGUGGAUGGACUCGCGGCUUAUCAGCUUGUUGGUGGGGUAGUGGCUUACCAAGGCUUUGACGGGUAGCCGGCCUGAGAGGGUGGACGGGCACCAGAGGACUGCGAGACGGCGCAGACUCCUACGGGAGGCAGAAGGGGGGAAUAUUGCACAAUGGGCGGAAGCCUGAUGCAGCAACGCCGCGUGCGGGAUGACGGCCUUCGUGUUGUAAACCGCUGUAGCCUGUGACGAAGCGUGAGUGACGGUAAUGGGUAAAGAAGCACCGGCUAACUACGUG